CUCCACAUUGCUACCCCAGACAAACCUGAUAAAAUGAAGGAUCAUCCCUAUGUGUGGUACAUUAACUACUGCUGUCAGGUGUUGCAAGUCUGGUGAUUUCCUGCAUCUUAUUAGUGUCAAAGUUAGUAGUUACAUUA
This is a small nucleolar RNA of Cryptomeria japonica (Japanese cedar), 137 nucleotides long. RefSeq annotates it as small nucleolar RNA snoR134. The transcript has a single exon. NCBI's taxonomy places the organism in Eukaryota, Viridiplantae, Streptophyta, Pinopsida, Cupressales, Cupressaceae. The record is from RefSeq and is a predicted model, not a curated record.